AGAUUGAACGCUGGCGGCAGGCCUAACACAUGCAAGUCGAGCGGCAGCACGGGUACUUGUACCUGGUGGCGAGCGGCGGACGGGUGAGUAAUGCCUAGGAAUCUGCCUAGUGGUGGGGGAUAACGUUCGGAAACGGACGCUAAUACCGCAUACGUCCUACGGGAGAAAGCGGGGGACCUUCGGGCCUCGCGCCAUUAGAUGAGCCUAGGUCGGAUUAGCUAGUUGGUGAGGUAAUGGCUCACCAAAGGCGACGAUCCGUAACUGGUCUGAGAGGAUGAUCAGUCACACUGGAACUGAGACACGGUCCAGACUCCUACGGGAGGCAGCAGUGGGGAAUAUUGGACAAUGGGCGAAAGCCUGAUCCAGCCAUGCCGCGUGUGUGAAGAAGGUCUUCGGAUUGUAAAAGCACUUUAAGUUGGAGGAAGGUUGUAACCUAAUACGUUGCAACUUUGACGUUACCGACAGAAUAAGCACCGGCUAAACUUCGUGCCAGCAAGCCG
Molecule: ribosomal RNA, 500 nt
Filed under: uncultured soil bacterium
Lineage: Bacteria
Description: bacterial SSU rRNA
Rfam family: Bacterial small subunit ribosomal RNA
Source: RNAcentral